Phyllopteryx taeniolatus (common seadragon) is the source of this 73-nucleotide small nucleolar RNA. NCBI's taxonomy places the organism in Eukaryota, Metazoa, Chordata, Actinopteri, Syngnathiformes, Syngnathidae. The record is from RefSeq and is a predicted model, not a curated record.
UUUGGAACUGAUGACUUAUGUUACCGCCCCAGUCUGAAAAUUCCUGACUGAUUGGUACCACCCCUGAUCCAGA